This 443-nucleotide ribosomal RNA is filed under the name uncultured bacterium. RNAcentral describes it as "partial 16S ribosomal RNA". It matches the Rfam family "Bacterial small subunit ribosomal RNA", at positions 338 to 795 of the family's 1533-position model. The record is from RNAcentral.
CCUACGGGAGGCAGCAGUGGGGAAUAUUGGGCAAUGGGCGCAAGCCUGACCCAGCAACGCCGCGUGAAGGAAGAAGGCUUUCGGGUUGUAAACUUCUUUUCUCGGGGACGAAGAAAGUGACGGUACCUGAGGAAUAAGCCACGGCUAACUACGUGCCAGCAGCCGCGGUAAUACAUAGGUGGCAAGCGUUAUACGGAUUUACUGGGUGUAAAGGGGGUGGAGGGGGGAAAGCAAGUCAGAUGUGAAAACCAUGGGCUCAACCUGUGGCCUGCAGGUGAGACUGUUUUUCUGGAGUACGAGAGAGGCAGACGGAAUUCCUAGUGUAGCGGUGCAAUGCGUAGAUAUUAGGAGGAACACCAGUGGCGAAGGCGGUCUGCUGGACAGCAACUGACGCUGAGGCGCGAAAGCGUGGGGAGCAAACAGGAUUAGAUACCCGGGUAGUC